GGGUUGUGAGGUUAAGCGACUAAGCGUACACGGUGGAUGCCCUGGCAGUCAGAGGCGAUGAAGGACGUGCUAAUCUGCGAAAAGCGUCGGUAAGGUGAUAUGAACCGUUAUAACCGGCGAUGUCCGAAUGGGGAAACCCAGUGCAAUUCGUUGCACUAUCGUUAACUGAAUACAUAGGUUAACGAGGCGAACCGGGGGAACUGAAACAUCUAAGUACCCCGAGGAAAAGAAAUCAACCGAGAUUCCCCCAGUAGCGGCGAGCGAACGGGGAGCAGCCCAGAGUCUGAAUCAGCUUGUGUGUUAGUGGAACGGUCUGGAAAGUCCGACGGUACAGGGUGAUAGUCCCGUACACCAAAAUGCACAGGCUGUGAACUCGAAGAGUAGGGCGGGACACGUGGUAUCCUGUCUGAAUAUGGGGGGACCAUCCUCCAAGGCUAAAUACUCCUGACUGACCGAUAGUGAACCAGUACCGUGAGGGAAAGGCGAAAAGAACCCCGGCGAGGGGAGUGAAAAAGAACCUGAAACCGUGUACGUACAAGCAGUGGGAGCACCUUCGGGUGUGACUGCGUACCUUUUUGUAUAAUGGGUCAGCGACUUAUAUUCUGUAGCAAGGUUAACCGUAUAGGGGAGCCGCAGGGAAACCGAGUCUUAACUGGGCGUUAAGUUGCAGGGUAUAGACCCGAAACCCGGUGAUCUAGCCAUGGGCAGGUUGAAGGUUGGGUAACACUAACUGGAGGACCGAACCGACUAAUGUUGAAAAAUUAGCGGAUGACUUGUGGCUGGGGGUGAAAGGCCAAUCAAACCGGGAGAUAGCUGGUUCUCCCCGAAAGCUAUUUAGGUAGCGCCUCGUGAAUUCAUCUUCGGGGGUAGAGCACUGUUUCGGCUAGGGGGUCAUCCCGACUUACCAACCCGAUGCAAACUACGAAUACCGAAGAAUGUUAUCACGGGAGACACACGGCGGGUGCUAACGUCCGUCGUGAAGAGGGAAACAACCCAGACCGCCAGCUAAGGUCCCAAAGUCAUGGUUAAGUGGGAAACGAUGUGGGAAGGCACAGACAGCCAGGAUGUUGGCUUAGAAGCAGCCAUCAUUUAAAGAAAGCGUAAUAGCUCACUGGUCGAGUCGGCCUGCGCGGAAGAUGUAACGGGGCUAAACCAUGCACCGAAGCUGCGGCAGCGACACUAUGUGUUGUUGGGUAGGGGAGCGUUCUGUAAGCCUGCGAAGGUGACCUGUGAGGGUUGCUGGAGGUAUCAGAAGUGCGAAUGCUGACAUAAGUAACGAUAAAGCGGGUGAAAAGCCCGCUCGCCGGAAGACCAAGGGUUCCUGUCCAACGUUAAUCGGGGCAGGGUGAGUCGACCCCUAAGGCGAGGCCGAAAGGCGUAGUCGAUGGGAAACAGGUUAAUAUUCCUGUACUUGGUGUUACUGCGAAGGGGGGACGGAGAAGGCUAUGUUAGCCGGGCGACGGUUGUCCCGGUUUAAGCAUGUAGGCUGGUUAUCCAGGCAAAUCCGGAUAAUCAAGGCUGAGGUGUGAUGACGAGGCACUACGGUGCUGAAGUAACAAAUGCCCUGCUUCCAGGAAAAGCCUCUAAGCAUCAGGUAACAUCAAAUCGUACCCCAAACCGACACAGGUGGUCAGGUAGAGAAUACCAAGGCGCUUGAGAGAACUCGGGUGAAGGAACUAGGCAAAAUGGUGCCGUAACUUCGGGAGAAGGCACGCUGGUGUGUAGGUGAAGUCCCUGCGGAUGGAGCUGAGACCAGUCGAAGAUACCAGCUGGCUGCAACUGUUUAUUAAAAACACAGCACUGUGCAAACACGAAAGUGGACGUAUACGGUGUGACGCCUGCCCGGUGCCGGAAGGUUAAUUGAUGGGGUUAUCCGUAAGGAGAAGCUCUUGAUCGAAGCCCCGGUAAACGGCGGCCGUAACUAUAACGGUCCUAAGGUAGCGAAAUUCCUUGUCGGGUAAGUUCCGACCUGCACGAAUGGCGUAAUGAUGGCCAGGCUGUCUCCACCCGAGACUCAGUGAAAUUGAACUCGCUGUGAAGAUGCAGUGUACCCGCGGCAAGACGGAAAGACCCCGUGAACCUUUACUAUAGCUUGACACUGAACAUUGAGCCUUGAUGUGUAGGAUAGGUGGGAGGCUUUGAAGCGUGGACGCCAGUCUGCGUGGAGCCAACCUUGAAAUACCACCCUUUAAUGUUUGAUGUUCUAACGUUGGCCCCUUACCGGGGUUGCGGACAGUGUCUGGUGGGUAGUUUGACUGGGGCGGUCUCCUCCCAAAGCGUAACGGAGGAGCACGAAGGUUAGCUAAUCCUGGUCGGACAUCAGGAGGUUAGUGCAAUGGCAUAAGCUAGCUUGACUGCGAGCGUGACGGCGCGAGCAGGUGCGAAAGCAGGUCAUAGUGAUCCGGUGGUUCUGAAUGGAAGGGCCAUCGCUCAACGGAUAAAAGGUACUCCGGGGAUAACAGGCUGAUACCGCCCAAGAGUUCAUAUCGACGGCGGUGUUUGGCACCUCGAUGUCGGCUCAUCACAUCCUGGGGCUGAAGUAGGUCCCAAGGGUAUGGCUGUUCGCCAUUUAAAGUGGUACGCGAGCUGGGUUUAGAACGUCGUGAGACAGUUCGGUCCCUAUCUGCCGUGGGCGCUGGAGAAUUGAGGGGGGCUGCUCCUAGUACGAGAGGACCGGAGUGGACGCAUCACUGGUGUUCGGGUUGUCAUGCCAAUGGCACUGCCCGGUAGCUAAAUGCGGAAGAGAUAAGUGCUGAAAGCAUCUAAGCACGAAACUUGCCCCGAGAUGAGUUCUCCCUGAGACUUUAAGUCUCCUGAAGGAACGUUAAAGACGAUGACGUUGAUAGGCCGGGUGUGUAAGCGCAGCGAUGCGUUGAGCUAACCGGUACUAAUGAACCGUGAGGCUUAACCUUACAACGCCGAAG
RNAcentral lists this ribosomal RNA (2924 nucleotides) under Klebsiella pneumoniae. RNAcentral's name for it is "bacterial LSU rRNA". It matches the Rfam family "Bacterial large subunit ribosomal RNA". The record is from RNAcentral. Lineage: Bacteria; Pseudomonadati; Pseudomonadota; Gammaproteobacteria; Enterobacterales; Enterobacteriaceae.